Molecule: ribosomal RNA, 258 nt
Filed under: uncultured archaeon
Lineage: Archaea
Description: partial 16S ribosomal RNA
Rfam family: Archaeal small subunit ribosomal RNA
Source: RNAcentral
CAGCCGUAAACAAUGUGCGUUGGGUGUGUCGGUAACCACGCGUUACUGAUGCGCCGAAGAGAAAUCGUGAAACGCACCACCUGGGAAGUACGGUCGCAAGGCUGAAACUUAAAGGAAUUGGCGGGGGAGCACCACAACAGGUGGAGCCUGCGGUUUAAUUGGAUUCAACGCCGGACAUCUCACCGGAUAAGACAGCUGAAUGAUUGUCAAUCUGAAGGUUUUACAUGACUAGCUGAGAGGAGGUGCAUGGCGUCAGUG